GGGUCAGUUUGGCCACUGGGCUUUUUGAUGAAGUAUUGCUCUAUGCUACGAAAUCGUAUGCUGGCUGAUCCUUCCUUUCUUUUUAAAGUUGGGACAAAGAUAGUCAUAGAUUCUUGUUGUGCAACAUUUGCAGAAGUUCAAAAAAGGGGAAAGGAUUUCUGGGCUGAGUUUGAGUUGUACGCUGCUGAUCUUUUGGGGCAAUCUGUCAUAUCAGUGGAUGAUAAAUUGAAAAUCAUAGCCUGCAGGGAACAACAUAAGAAAUUAUCAGCUCUUCAGAUGGAGUUGGCUGCAGUUAGACAUGAGGGUUUUACUUCAAUGCGCUCCAUAGAGAUUAAUGGAACUGAUUAUAAGAGAAUGCCACUAGUGGUGAUUGGAAUUUUUACAACCUUUGGUCGCAAAAACAAUAGAGACACCAUUCGUAAGGCGUGAAUGGGAACAGGUGCUGCCUUGAAAAAAAAAUGGAGAAUGAAAAGGGAAUAAUCGCAUGAGGAUAAUUUGGCAUGCUCGAAUUGGAAAGCCAUCAGUAUCCCUAGGAUUAUUUGGAAGUUAACAACUACAUCAUUUUAUUUGCAUAAUAGAGGUAUCUUGUUAUUACUAGUAUCUGGGGCUGGUAGGACAAUGCUGAUCAGUGAUGCCGGGAAAUUUUAUGCCUUUGGAAAGGACUGAAGAUGGUUCUAUGACAUAGUAAUAAUGAGAUAGUUUUAUGACAUAGUAUAAACAAUGUACUUCUAUGAAAUGGUAUUAACAGUGUACUUCUAUGGAAUGGUAUUAACAGUGUACUUCUAUGACAUGGUAUUAAUAAUGUACUUUUAUGACAUGGUAUUAACACUGUACUUCGGGCUUGCCGGGCUUGUUUUGGGGGGUUUUUUUUUUUU
Molecule: non-coding RNA, 875 nt
Organism: Prunus avium (sweet cherry)
Lineage: Eukaryota; Viridiplantae; Streptophyta; Magnoliopsida; Rosales; Rosaceae
Source: RefSeq, a predicted model, not a curated record